GGAGCCGUGCCUGAAAUAAAGGACCACUUUGAUAGAGUGGAUCAUGUGGGUUAAAACCCCCCCGCCUCCU
RNAcentral lists this transfer RNA (70 nucleotides) under Trichiurus lepturus (Atlantic cutlassfish). RNAcentral's name for it is "tRNA-Ile". It matches the Rfam family "tRNA". From Rfam's summary of the family: Transfer RNA (tRNA) molecules are approximately 80 nucleotides in length. Their secondary structure includes four short double-helical elements and three loops (D, anti-codon, and T loops). The record is from RNAcentral. RNAcentral also lists the same sequence under 2 other names. Lineage: Eukaryota; Metazoa; Chordata; Actinopteri; Scombriformes; Trichiuridae.